This is an RNA transcript of Hyposmocoma kahamanoa, 550 nucleotides long. RefSeq lists it as uncharacterized. NCBI's taxonomy places the organism in Eukaryota, Metazoa, Arthropoda, Insecta, Lepidoptera, Cosmopterigidae. The record is from RefSeq and is a predicted model, not a curated record. The transcript has 4 exons.
ACUCCGGGCACAGCAGCAUGUCUUUGAAAACUACGGAGUUUUUGCAAAAACUAUGUUACAAACGCGCGGCAACUGUGGACAUGACGCAAUAUGGUUUUAUUAGCGACAGCAAAGUACAAACUGUGAAUUUAUUAAUGAAACCAUUGAGAGAAAAGCUGGUGAUGAUAUGUGACAGACUAGUGGAUACCUACCACAGCGGGAAGCGUCGCCGGUAUAUGACGUAGUCCACCGGCUAUGCGCUGAAGUCCGCCUGUGUUGCUGCUAAUUGGAAGGAACGUACGCAGGUACACGCCCACGGUUGGUACCGUAACUAAUGGGACAACCUAAUGGCAAAUCCAGAAGAAAAUCAGUCACUAAACCAGGUACUUCAACUUGCAAUAUCAGUUGUAUAAUGCCUUUACGUAUCCAUGAAUUGAUAAAGUCAAGAAGAAUGCAAAGUAAAAACAGUAAACGAAGAGGCAGGUAGCAUAAAUACACAACGCCUUCUUAUCAAGUCGCCAAGAAAUUUUAUAUACAACGAAAUAGAUGAAUACUUGAGUGUCAAUUGUUA